RNAcentral lists this microRNA precursor (145 nucleotides) under Vicugna pacos (alpaca). RNAcentral's name for it is "miRNA (ENSVPAG00000016690.1)". The stretch from base 46 to 97 matches the Rfam family "mir-1302 microRNA precursor family". Lineage: Eukaryota; Metazoa; Chordata; Mammalia; Artiodactyla; Camelidae. The record is from RNAcentral.
CAGGAUGCCCAGUAAAAUUUGAGCUUCAGAUAAAGAACGAAUAAUAUUUAAGUAUAAGUAUGUCCCAUGCAAUAUUUGGGACAUGCUUAUACUAAAGAAUUAUUCCAUUUUUUAUCUGAAAUUCAAAUCUAAUGAGAAUCCUGUA